GUCUCUUUGAUUAUUGAUUAUAGGGAGUUUGACCUGCCCGGUGAAAAUUUUAGAUUUAACGGCCGCAGUACUUUGACUGUGCGAAGGUAGCAUAAUUAUUUGCCUUAUAAUUGAAGGCUUGUAUGAAUGGUUUGACGAGAAUAAAUCUGUCUUAUUAUAAUUUUUUUGAAUUUGACUUUUUAGUGAAGAGGCUUAAAUUUUAUUGAUAGACAAGAAGACCCUGUCGAGCUUAAUAUUUUUAUAUAAGUUUUGUAUUUUUAUUUUGUUUGUAGAUUUUAGUUGGGGUGACUGAGGAAUAAUAUUAAUUUCCUUAUUUAUUUUGUGAUUCGUGAAUUUUGAUCCAUUAUUAAUGAUUAAUAAAAUUAGUUACCGCAGGGAUAACAGCAUAAUCUUUUUUAAGAGUUCUUAUUGAAAAAAGGGUUUGUGACCUCGAUGUUGGAUUAAAAUUUCCUAAGGGUGCAGAAGUUUUUUAGGGUUAGUCUGUUCGACUAUUAAAAUUUU
RNAcentral lists this ribosomal RNA (501 nucleotides) under Gouldipoma chrysostiria. RNAcentral's name for it is "partial 16S ribosomal RNA". It matches the Rfam family "Bacterial large subunit ribosomal RNA", at positions 1817 to 2597 of the family's 2925-position model. Lineage: Eukaryota; Metazoa; Mollusca; Gastropoda; Littorinimorpha; Annulariidae. The record is from RNAcentral.